Molecule: non-coding RNA, 70 nt
Organism: Phrynosoma platyrhinos (Desert horned lizard)
Lineage: Eukaryota; Metazoa; Chordata; Lepidosauria; Squamata; Phrynosomatidae
Source: the annotation of a GenBank genome assembly
GCCAGUGUAAUCUAGUGGUUUAAGCAUUAGAUUACAACUCUGGAGACGAGGAUUCGAAUCCCCACUGGCC